Long non-coding RNA from Empidonax traillii (willow flycatcher), 1729 nucleotides. RefSeq lists it as uncharacterized. NCBI's taxonomy places the organism in Eukaryota, Metazoa, Chordata, Aves, Passeriformes, Tyrannidae. The record is from RefSeq and is a predicted model, not a curated record. The transcript has 2 exons.
AAUAACUAAUGCAGCUCUCAUUGACAGUAGUGGAAGUUUUAUGCCUGAAUUUGCAUGUGCUGGGAUGAAAACACACCACAUGGAGAAGGCAGGAAGGUGAGAAAUGGAGUUGGAAUGAAUGAAUGGAUAAACUGAAUAGCUUGAAAUUACCAGGGAUUCCUCAGCCUGAUCAUGAACAGCUUCUCUGCCUUAAAAGAGAACACGAGCCUUUCUCCGAGGCGCAGCUUCCGAAUCGCGGUCACCGAGUAGGCAUGGCCAACAACGAGCCCCAUCUCUGUCUCCACCUCACUGGCACGGCCAGAGGACACCUUGAGCACCAAGAAUGACAAUUAAAAAGUGGAACUCACAUCACUGAGGGCUUUGACAGCUACGAGUUCAAGGGACAAGACAAGGAGGGUUUGUUUUCCAUUCCCUUCCCAAGUGAUUUGACUGUCCAGGAAAACAACAGCACUGGUACUUAUAACUAAUGGCUCGCUGUCCUGAUGUUGUGCAGGAUAGUGCUGGACAGUUCCUAGCAGGCAGAAGCCCAGAGCUUAGGGGAAUGCUGCCUGCUAGAGCCGUUUUGUCUCUUCCUGGUCUCAAGAGUUAGACUUCCAAAAUCUUGUAAUCUUUACGAAAUUGCUCUUCUGGGUAUUAGUGACUCUGCUCAGGCUAUCUGGUGGUAUCCUCAGCUGGACAUUCCAUAGGGCCUAAGAAUUGAACUCAUGAGUCCAAUGGCUGUUUCUGUGUUGGAGUCAAUUUGAUAUCCCAGAACAACUACUGCUGGUGGAUAAAAAUAGAGGUCAUGGGCAAUAAACCUUUCUAUUCAUUUGUCAAACCUGUCCUGUACCUCUCUUCCCUGGCAACAGGUAGAUCUUCAGGUUUAUUUAGGAGCUGGGUUUGCUCCUCAUAAACUUCAUGCAAGCAGCCUAGUUUCCAGCAGUGAACAGGCAGUAAACUGUCCUGCUGGAUGACCUGGGCCUGGCCAGAAGCUGAUCUAAGAAUACAUAAAAACUGUCAAGUUCUGAAAAACACGACAAUUUCAUUUAAUGAAUCCAGAACUCCUAAUCUAAACCCAGAAAAGCAGUGUCAUGUAAAGGUGCUGGAUUUGCAUUGAAGGACUGGCCCUUCACAAAGCCAGCACAAUGCUGCUUCUGAGCAACACAGACCAGGCAGGACAGCAGACAAAAUAAAGCUGUGUCAGUGUUAUAACCCUUCUUCUGAGCCAGGAAGGGCCCAAAUGAUCCGGCCUCUGGCUUCUUCACACCCUCACUGGAGCCACCACGGGCAUUCUUGCACUAAACCACAGCUAGAGAUUCUCUCAUCUGUAUUGGACUAGAACCCGUUGGGCCUGAAGACACUCACUCCCCUGGACAGCAAGGAAGGAAGAUUUGACUCAGUGCAGAUCCUUGUGUGUAAACUUGUAAUAACCUAAUUAAUGAUCAAUCAAGCCUUUGCUGUGACAAAGAGAGCAAGAGUUAUGGACUCUUGGUGCCAUUAAUGUAAAUAUUUAAAUAUAAAUAUAUUUAUUGUUUAUCAUUAUACAGCAAUAAUUAUUAUAAAGAUAUAAAUAUUUCCAUAUAAACAAGGACUUAUCAGAGUUGUGGAAUGCACAUGGUACUUUCUCAGACAUUUUUGCCCAUUUGAAAAUUUAACUGGUCUAAACAGACAAGGUCCUUCUCCUAAAGCGAGUGUUGCACUGAUACAAGAGUGUUCAUUCCCUAAAGGUAAGGAAAAAAAAAAAAAAAAG